Molecule: unclassified non-coding RNA, 19 nt
Filed under: Mus musculus (house mouse)
Lineage: Eukaryota; Metazoa; Chordata; Mammalia; Rodentia; Muridae
Description: oocyte_clustered_small_RNA5953
Source: RNAcentral
CUUAGCUCUAGCUAGCCAG